AUAUUCAGCAAUCAGUAGCUUUCACCAAUCAAAAGAACUUUUAGAAGAUAUAAUUGAAGACAAAAUCCUAUUUAUAAUAGCAAACAACAGCAAAAGCAAGGAAUGAACUUAGUCAAUGUGCACUGCCUGUAGGAGAUGGCCUCGUGAUCCGCCCGCCUUGGCCUCCCAAAGUGCUGGGAUUACAGGAGUGAGCCACCGUGCCCAAAAAAAUAAAUUUUGUAAUGUUUCACUUAACAAAAGAGAUACAUUCUGAGAAAUGUAUCAUUAAGUGAUUUCAUAAUUAGUUGAUUUCGUUGUCACGCAAACAUCAUAGAAUGCACUUACACAAACCUAGAUGGUACAGCCUACUACACACCCAGGCUUUAUGGUAGAGCCUAUUGCCCUUGGCA
RNAcentral lists this long non-coding RNA (389 nucleotides) under Homo sapiens (human). Its description in RNAcentral is "lncAB129.1". Lineage: Eukaryota; Metazoa; Chordata; Mammalia; Primates; Hominidae. The record is from RNAcentral.